UAAAAAUAAGAAGAAUCACGAUAAAGCCGCUAACUUUAAUCUUUAAUGGUUAAAAUCCAUUUUUA
Molecule: non-coding RNA, 65 nt
Organism: Clunio marinus
Lineage: Eukaryota; Metazoa; Arthropoda; Insecta; Diptera; Chironomidae
Source: the annotation of a GenBank genome assembly